Molecule: long non-coding RNA, 94 nt
Organism: Sinocyclocheilus grahami
Lineage: Eukaryota; Metazoa; Chordata; Actinopteri; Cypriniformes; Cyprinidae
Exons: 3
Source: RefSeq, a predicted model, not a curated record
UGAUUGUAAUCUGAUUUUGAGCUAACUACACCUCAAAGGCUAUUUUAGGAGCCACAGCACUGAGCAUCUUUGGCUUUGAGCCAACUACACCCCA